GCUGGGCGUGGUGGCGCAUGCCUGUAGUCCCAGCUACUCAGGAGGCUGAGGUGGGAGGAUCACUUGAGCCCAGGAGGUCAAGGCUUCAGUGAGCCAUGAUCACACCACUGCACCCCAGCCUGGGUGACAGAGUGAGACCCUGUCUCAA
RNAcentral lists this signal recognition particle RNA (148 nucleotides) under Chlorocebus sabaeus (green monkey). RNAcentral describes it as "Metazoan signal recognition particle RNA". It matches the Rfam family "Metazoan signal recognition particle RNA". Rfam says of the family: The signal recognition particle (SRP) is a universally conserved ribonucleoprotein. It is involved in the co-translational targeting of proteins to membranes. The record is from Rfam by way of RNAcentral. Lineage: Eukaryota; Metazoa; Chordata; Mammalia; Primates; Cercopithecidae.